RNAcentral lists this transfer RNA (819 nucleotides) under uncultured cyanobacterium. RNAcentral describes it as "partial contains 16S ribosomal RNA, 16S-23S ribosomal RNA intergenic spacer, and 23S ribosomal RNA". The stretch from base 261 to 333 matches the Rfam family "tRNA". The record is from RNAcentral. Lineage: Bacteria; Bacillati; Cyanobacteriota.
CAGGGAGACAAACUUGAUUUUGAUGUCUGAAUUAAUUAUUUUCAGGCCAUAAUCCUGUCACCUUAGGUCGAUCGGUACCUCAGUUUGAUAUCUCAAAACUAUGCAAUUAGUUUCUCUAAGUUAUUGAAUUCAGUUCCUAAACUUGUCUAGGUCACACCCAGCAAUGGUGGUACUCCUGGGCCAUUAGCUCAGGUGGUUAGAGCGCACCCCUGAUAAGGGUGAGGUCCCUGGUUCAAGUCCAGGAUGGCCCAUUCGGUGUUGGGGGUAUAGCUCAGUUGGUAGAGCGCCUGCUUUGCAAGCAGGAUGUCAGCGGUUCGAGUCCGCUUACCUCCACUGAUCAACCCCCUGAUAGCGAAAUCCAAGGAGAUUCAAUGUGAUCUAGAUAAACAUUCUUCAUGAAUUGAACCUAGCUUCUUGUCGUUCCUUUUAAGAGCUAACUCUUGAAUUUGAUUGAUAAGACGCUGGGCUCACUGCAAUUUAAUUGCAGGGAUGUUCAGUAGAACCUUGACAACUGCAUAGGUGAGUUUGGAAAGAAUAAAGCAUCUCAUGGAUACACAUUAUUCUUUUGAAUUGCUCUAGAAUCUUCUAAAUUUUAUUUGGAAUUUUUUGAGUUGUAUUCAAAUUAAAAUGUUUAAUUCUUGAGCAAGAGCCGAGUCUCUAAAUACUCUUUCAAUGUAAUUAAUCAUUGAGAGUUAGAUUUUUAGUUUUCUCCCCUAAUUUUUCUAGUUUUUUACAAUCAAAUUGUUUAAUCCUUGCGAAAUUAGGUUGGCAAAAUUAAAGAAAAAUGUGCUAGUAGCACAUAGUUUUUAAAGAUAUUAU